CCAAAUUGGAUCAAAGGUUUGAUCAAGUCAUCAUCAAAUUCAAUCAUCCGUUUUGGUGGAUUAUGGUUUUCACCCCAUCAACACCCAAGGUCCAUUGAGAUUGAUGAGACUUAUGAUCAAAACAAUCAUGAUCCAAGCCCUACAGAAGUCAACCAAAGUAAAAGAUAUAUAAAAUAAAAUAAAAUAAAAUGCAUCAGACACAUUUUCAAAAUGAAUUUUAAAAGGGAAAUAAAAGAGAAAAUGUAUAACGUCCUUCAAAACACCAAAGAAAUGGCCAAGAAAAUUAUAGAAGGUUGAAAAUAGAAUAAGAAGCAUAUAAUAAAAUAUUCAUAAUUUUAAAGUGCACAAAAUUAUUUUUAAAUCAAUUAAAACAUAGGAGAAAAGAGAAAAUUCAUGAAAAAUAGAAAAUCAAGGAAACAAAU
This 422-nucleotide long non-coding RNA is filed under the name Lathyrus oleraceus (garden pea). RNAcentral's name for it is "Pisum sativum (pea) long non-coding RNA (PSAT_LNC025142)". The record is from RNAcentral. Lineage: Eukaryota; Viridiplantae; Streptophyta; Magnoliopsida; Fabales; Fabaceae.